Electrophorus electricus (electric eel) is the source of this 259-nucleotide non-coding RNA. Lineage: Eukaryota; Metazoa; Chordata; Actinopteri; Gymnotiformes; Gymnotidae. The record is from RefSeq and is a predicted model, not a curated record.
GAAACCAUCUCACCUGCUCUACAGAAGUCACUGUCUGUACGCCGUCGUCAUUUAAUACUUCCAACCGAUGGGACUCGCUAAAGCAACGUAAAGACUUUGCGCACUUCGUGAGCUCACCAUACCAUACACAAGAAAGCUCAUCGAGGCUACGCGGCGCAGCGUGAAACGCACGUCACUCGAACGAACCAAGGAUUCAUCUGACAGAAGUUCAUUGGCUACGGCAAGACGGGAAGUCCAAAAUAAAUAAAUAUUCUGCUUC